Cornus florida is the source of this 94-nucleotide small nucleolar RNA. RefSeq annotates it as small nucleolar RNA snoR31/Z110/Z27. The transcript has a single exon. Lineage: Eukaryota; Viridiplantae; Streptophyta; Magnoliopsida; Cornales; Cornaceae. The record is from RefSeq and is a predicted model, not a curated record.
UCAUCAAGGUGAUGAAAUCAGAAAAUCUUAGGACACCUUCUGACACAGCAUUCAAAAUUCUGUGUACGAGAAAGAUUUCUAUUCUGAUUUAUGA